UCAUAAUCACAGAAGUCAAUUUAGAUUAUAAAAAAAUAAAAUAUAAUUUUAAAUAUAUUUAAGAUCCAAUGCAUUUAUAAUGCAUGUAAUAAAAAAAUACACAUUUUACAUUUGGAUUUGGACCUGUCCAAAUGAGAUUUGUGAUGCAGACCAGCAAAUCUUGAGUGCUAGCAUCCAGCUAGUGACCCAGGGUCCUAUCAUGACUCAUUUACAUGGUGCCAUCACUCUGUUUGGUAUCAUUUGGGAAAUUUAAGUUUUAGCAAGGCUACAUGGCUUCUAGGUGCAAAUGCUGCUGCCCCAUGGAUGCCACACGGAGCUUCAACAAGGUAUCUCUAUGAGGCAGGGUCUUGUGGAACGCCUCUGCAUCGGAGUACCUAAAAAAAUAAACCAAAUAUUUGUGAUAGACUUCCUAAAAUACAAUUUUCUAAUAGCUAACACUAUCUUUAGAGAAAUGUGAUUAGAAAUCAAUAAAAUUAUGUAAACCAA
Long non-coding RNA from Plodia interpunctella (Indianmeal moth), 486 nucleotides. RefSeq lists it as uncharacterized. NCBI's taxonomy places the organism in Eukaryota, Metazoa, Arthropoda, Insecta, Lepidoptera, Pyralidae. The transcript has 3 exons. The record is from RefSeq and is a predicted model, not a curated record.